This is a long non-coding RNA of Cervus elaphus (red deer), 163 nucleotides long. RefSeq lists it as uncharacterized. NCBI's taxonomy places the organism in Eukaryota, Metazoa, Chordata, Mammalia, Artiodactyla, Cervidae. The transcript is spliced from 3 exons. The record is from RefSeq and is a predicted model, not a curated record.
AAUACCAUUAUAUGCUGAUUGGAGAAAAGAAGAGUUCCAGACUGUAAAUCUGACUCUGGAUGCAGACACUGCCCAUCCUGCCCUCUUCCUGUCUGAAGAGGGGAGAAGAGUAACCUGGAAAGAACCAUCUCAGGAACUUCCCAGCUGCUCACAGAGAUUUGUC